Pocillopora verrucosa is the source of this 149-nucleotide non-coding RNA. The record is from RefSeq and is a predicted model, not a curated record. NCBI's taxonomy places the organism in Eukaryota, Metazoa, Cnidaria, Anthozoa, Scleractinia, Pocilloporidae.
CAAGGGUUAUUUUCUUGAACCCAGGAAACUCUAUACAAGACUUUCUGACUUUAUCCCUGAUUCAAGGGUUAUUUUCUUGAACCCAGGAAACUCUAUACAAGACUUUCUGACUUUAUCCCUGAUUCAAGGGUUAUUUUCUCGAACCCAGG